Molecule: ribosomal RNA, 735 nt
Filed under: uncultured bacterium
Lineage: Bacteria
Description: bacterial SSU rRNA
Rfam family: Bacterial small subunit ribosomal RNA
Source: RNAcentral
CUGCAGGCGAUACGGGCAUAACUUGAGUGCUGUAGGGGAGACUGGAAUUCCUGGUGUAGCGGUGGAAUGCGCAGAUAUCAGGAGGAACACCGAUGGCGAAGGCAGGUCUCUGGGGCAGUAACUGACGCUGAGGAGCGAAAGCAUGGGUAGCGAACAGGAUUAGAUACCCUGGUAGUCCAUGCCGUAAACGGUGGGCGCUAGGUGUGAGUCCCUUCCACGGGGGUUCGUGCCGUAGCUAACGCAUUAAGCGCCCCGCCUGGGGAGUACGGCCGCAAGGCUAAAACUCAAAGGAAUUGACGGGGGCCCGCACAAGCGGCGGAGCAUGUGGAUUAAUUCGAUGCAACGCGAAGAACCUUACCUGGGCUUGACAUACACCAGAUCGCCGUAGAGAUACGGUUUCCCUUUGUGGUUGGUGUACAGGUGGUGCAUGGUUGUCGUCAGCUCGUGUCGUGAGAUGUUGGGUUAAGUCCCGCAACGAGCGCAACCCUUGUCUUAUGUUGCCAGCACGUUAUGGUGGGGACUCGUGAGAGACUGCCGGGGUUAACUCGGAGGAAGGUGGGGAUGACGUCAAAUCAUCAUGCCCCUUAUGUCCAGGGCUUCACACAUGCUACAAUGGUCGGUACAACGCGUGUGCGAGCCUGUGAGGGUGAGCUAAUCGCCGUAAAGCCGGUCGUAGUUCGGAUUGGGGUCUGCAACUCGACCCCAUGAAGUCGGAGUCGCUAGUAAUCGCAGAUC